GACGAACGCUGGCGGCGUGCCUAACACAUGCAAGUCGAGCGGAGUCGAUCGACGGAAGCCUUCGGGCGGAAGAUGGUUGACUUAGCGGCGGAUGGGUGAGUAACGCGUGGGCAACCUGCCUCGAAGACCGGGAUAACAGCCCGAAAGGGCUGCUAAUACCGGAUGUGGUCAAGGAUCCGCAUGGAUUUUUGAUUAAAGGGGAAACCCGUUUCGAGAUGGGCCCGCGUCCUAUCAGCUAGUUGGUGAGGUAAAAGCUCACCAAGGCGACGACGGGUAGCCGGCCUGAGAGGGUGACCGGCCACACUGGAACUGAGACACGGUCCAGACUCCUACGGGGGGCAGCAGUGGGGAAUCUUCCACAAUGGGCGAAAGCCUGAUGGAGCGACGCCGCGUGAGCGAAGAAGGCCUUCGGUGUAAGCUCUGUCUGGAGGGACGAAGGAAGUGACGGUACCUCCGGAGGAAGCCACGGCGUAACUACGUG
RNAcentral lists this ribosomal RNA (481 nucleotides) under uncultured bacterium. RNAcentral's name for it is "bacterial SSU rRNA". It matches the Rfam family "Bacterial small subunit ribosomal RNA", at positions 28 to 507 of the family's 1533-position model. The record is from RNAcentral.